UGGUAGCCUCGCAACAUUGUUCUAUGAAUCCCGCCAGGACCGGAAGGUAGCAACGGUAAUAGUUAUAAUGUGUGCCGAGGAUGUGC
RNAcentral lists this signal recognition particle RNA (86 nucleotides) under Psychrobacter glacincola. RNAcentral describes it as "Bacterial small signal recognition particle RNA". It matches the Rfam family "Bacterial small signal recognition particle RNA", at positions 6 to 89 of the family's 97-position model. From Rfam's summary of the family: The signal recognition particle (SRP) is a universally conserved ribonucleoprotein involved in the co-translational targeting of proteins to membranes. Archaeal SRP consists of a 7S RNA and homologues of the eukaryotic SRP19 and SRP54 proteins. In most bacteria, the SRP consists of a 4.5S RNA and the Ffh protein (a homologue of the eukaryotic SRP54 protein). Lineage: Bacteria; Pseudomonadati; Pseudomonadota; Gammaproteobacteria; Moraxellales; Moraxellaceae. The record is from RNAcentral. RNAcentral also lists the same sequence under 3 other names.